RNAcentral lists this ribosomal RNA (296 nucleotides) under uncultured marine eukaryote. RNAcentral's name for it is "partial 18S ribosomal RNA". It matches the Rfam family "Eukaryotic small subunit ribosomal RNA", at positions 617 to 917 of the family's 1831-position model. The record is from RNAcentral.
GGUUAAAAAGCUCGUAGUUGGAUUUCUGUCGAGGACGGCCGGUCCGCACUAUGUGCGUGCAUCUGGUUUGGCCUUGGCAUCCUCUUGGGGAACGUCGCUGCGCUUGAUUGCGUGGCGCGGUGCUCAAGACUUUUACUUUGAGGAAAUUAGAGUGUUCACGGCAGGCAAUCGCCCUGAAUAUAUUAGCAUGGAAUAAUAAUAUAGGAUUUCAGGCCUAUUUUGUUGGUUUCUAGGCUUGAGAUAAUGAUUAAUAGGGAUAAUUGGGGGUAUUCGUAUUAACGCGUCAGAGGUGGAAU